CUUCACCGAACCCAGCCACAACGGCCGGUCCUCAUCCCGGCCCUGACCGUAGGUCGCGAGAAGGGCCUGCGCCUC
Molecule: non-coding RNA, 75 nt
Organism: Streptomyces auratus AGR0001
Lineage: Bacteria; Bacillati; Actinomycetota; Actinomycetes; Kitasatosporales; Streptomycetaceae
Source: Rfam